CCUACGGGAGGCAGCAGUGAGGAAUCUUGGUCAAUGGCCGGAAGGCUGAACCAGCCAAGCCGCGUGAGGGAGGAAGGCGCUGAGCGUCGCAGACCUCUUUUGCCGGGGGACAAAAGGCCGGACGGGUCUGGUUCUGAGGGUACCCGGAGAAAAAGCAUCGGCUAACUCCGGGACAGCAGCAGCGGUAAUACGGGGGAUGCGAGCGUUAUCCGGAUUCAUUGGGUUUAACGGGUGCGCAGGCGGGCCUUUACGCCGGAGGGGAAAGCGCGGGGCUAAACCCCGCCGAGCCGUCGGAACUGGGGGCCUUGAGUGCGGCAGAGGCAUGCGGAAUGCGCGGUGUAGCGGUGAAAUGCAUAGAUAUCGGGCAGAACCCCGAUGGCGAAGGCAGCGUGCCGGGCCGCCACUGACGCUGAGGCACGAAAGCGCGGGGAUCGAACAGGAUGAGAUACCCGGGUAGUC
This 459-nucleotide ribosomal RNA is filed under the name uncultured bacterium. RNAcentral's name for it is "partial 16S ribosomal RNA". It matches the Rfam family "Bacterial small subunit ribosomal RNA", at positions 338 to 795 of the family's 1533-position model. The record is from RNAcentral.